CGAUAUUAAAACGAAAUAAAGAGAAAAUGAUAUAAGUUAUUUCAAAGGUGGUUUCGCUUUAAAAUCCGAAUAUUAUUUGCAUAUCGCCCUUUCUUCAAUUGAACAAAGUAGUCCAGAUGCGAUAGUCCAAGAAACUGAAAUCGCAUACCUAAGGACCAUCUCCAACUGUGUCUGAGUCCUGGCCUUAGGUGCGGGUGUAUCGCCUUGGACCCGGUAUUGAUUUCAUGUUGACGCUGCAAUAUUUCUCUUAAUGAAAACAAACAAUGAGACGCUGAUGCGGAGGCCACGGGCCAGAAUGCAGGCAGCUGGCUCGCAGGCAGGAGGCUGCUCCCGACUAUUGGCCACACAGGGCGAGCAGGGGCCAGUUGAGCGGUGCCCAGUUGCCGAGUUGCCCAGUUGGCCACUUGGCAACUCGGCCUGGCCGAGAUGUGUGCUGCCAGAUAAUUGUGGCGGGCAGGUCGUGCCAAAUUCCACACGACGGAAGACAAGACCAUCGAGAUGGAGCUGGAGUCGGGGCCAAUUUAAAACCAAUUUAAAGUUUAAUGAAUUCAUAAAGAAAUCAGUGACUGCACUUUCAAAACAUAAUCUGCCGACAUUCCGCCUUCUCCUCAUGGCGUGCCAAAUCUCAUAAUCAGUCAAUAAC
Drosophila teissieri is the source of this 643-nucleotide long non-coding RNA. RefSeq lists it as uncharacterized. NCBI's taxonomy places the organism in Eukaryota, Metazoa, Arthropoda, Insecta, Diptera, Drosophilidae. The transcript has 3 exons. The record is from RefSeq and is a predicted model, not a curated record.